GCAUGCUCCGAGCGCGGCGCCCCCGACGCGGCGCUCGGCUCGGCUCGGGCAUUUCCGCCUCUUUGUUUUAAACUCCGGACGGGCUUUUUUCUCCUCCUCUUGGGGGGGACCCAGAGGGAGCGGCGCCCCCUCCCCCCUCCGGCGCGGACCCCGCGUGCGCCUUGCUCGCCCGCAGCCCCGAGACCGCAGGCGUCACAAUGUAGCAGGGACUCCAGGCGUCGUGCUCAGAAAAUGGAAAAAGAGCCAGGGCCGGAAGGAGGGUGCAGAAGCGAGUCCGCGUGCGGAGCCAGGAGGCAGCGUCGCGUGGGAGUGCUGGCCUGAAGCCUCCAUGCCCCGGCAGAGGGACGGACACGCGGACGUCUAGCGGAGGUGAGGCCCACGCCCCCCGACCCCCGACCCCGGGGGUCCUGCUGACUCCUUGCCCUGCCCUGUUGCUGGUUGUGGCGAGGGCCGGCGAUCAUUAGUAGCCGGCUGGUCAGGACACGAUGCAGCGUUCACUGUUCACUGCCGAGUUUUCCUGGCCCCUCCUGUGAGAGUCCAAGGUCCAGCCAGCUGUGGGGGGCCGAGGCCUCGAUGGCAGUGCGGGGUGCAGAGGGCUGGUCUCCUUCCGU
This 611-nucleotide small RNA is filed under the name Pongo abelii (Sumatran orangutan). Its description in RNAcentral is "retained intron". The record is from RNAcentral. Lineage: Eukaryota; Metazoa; Chordata; Mammalia; Primates; Hominidae.